RNAcentral lists this non-coding RNA (28 nucleotides) under Mus musculus (house mouse). The record is from RNAcentral. Lineage: Eukaryota; Metazoa; Chordata; Mammalia; Rodentia; Muridae.
UAGAAGGUGUGGUAAACAUACAGGAUGG